Chinchilla lanigera (long-tailed chinchilla) is the source of this 280-nucleotide long non-coding RNA. RefSeq lists it as uncharacterized. Lineage: Eukaryota; Metazoa; Chordata; Mammalia; Rodentia; Chinchillidae. The transcript has 3 exons. The record is from RefSeq and is a predicted model, not a curated record.
GGAGCAAUAACGAUGGUGCCCCUUCAGGAAUGGUGCCCCAGUGAAGAAAAAUGAAAAGCCCACUCUACUGUAGAAAAGUCAUAUCAUAAGAAUGAAUCAUCAUAUACAUAGUUAAAAGUAUGCAGAAUGAGUGCAGAGUAUUAUUUCCAACAUUUGCAUCAUUUUUAAGAAGUGGAAGCAACAGAUUUGGAACAUGUUUUCAACAAUAACUCAAAUACUCAGCAAACACUAUGCUUUCACUGAUGUGAAGAACUAUAUAAAGACUACAACAAUGAAUACA